UGGGGAAUUUUGGACAAUGGGGGCAACCCUGAUCCAGCCAUCCGCGUGUGCGAUGAAGGCCUUCGGGUUGUAAAGCACUUUUGGCAGGGAAGAAACAGCCUGGGAUAAUACCCCGGGCGACUGACGGUACCUGCAGAAUAAGCACCGGCUAACUACGUGCCAGCAGCCGCGGUAAUACGUAGGGUGCAAGCGUUAAUCGGAAUUACUGGGCGUAAAGCGUGCGCAGGCGGUUCGGAAAGAAAGGUGUGAAAUCCAGGCUUAACCUUGGAACUGCACUUUAACUACCGAGCUAGAGUACGUCAGAGGGGGGUAGAAUUCCACGUGUAGCAGUGAAAUGCGUAGAGAUGUGGAGGAAUACCGAUGGCGAAGGCAGCCCCCUGGGAUGAUACUGACGCUCAUGCACGAAAGCGU
This 411-nucleotide ribosomal RNA is filed under the name uncultured bacterium. RNAcentral's name for it is "partial 16S ribosomal RNA". It matches the Rfam family "Bacterial small subunit ribosomal RNA", at positions 355 to 762 of the family's 1533-position model. The record is from RNAcentral.